RNAcentral lists this ribosomal RNA (933 nucleotides) under bacterium enrichment culture clone 1d12. RNAcentral's name for it is "bacterial SSU rRNA". It matches the Rfam family "Bacterial small subunit ribosomal RNA", at positions 46 to 982 of the family's 1533-position model. The record is from RNAcentral.
GCCUAACACAUGCAAGUCGAGGGGUAUUAGGGGCUUGCUCCUAAGAGACCGGCGCACGGGUGCGUAACGCGUAUGCAAUCUGCCUUGUACAGAGGGAUAGCCCAGAGAAAUUUGGAUUAAUACUUCACGGUGUAUUGAUGUGGCAUCACAUUAUUACUAAAGCUUCGGCGGUACAAGAUGAGCAUGCGUCCCAUUAGCUAGUUGGUAAGGUAACGGCUUACCAAGGCUACGAUGGGUAGGGGUCCUGAGAGGGAGAUCCCCCACACUGGUACUGAGACACGGACCAGACUCCUACGGGAGGCAGCAGUGAGGAAUAUUGGUCAAUGGUCGGAAGACUGAACCAGCCAUGCCGCGUGCAGGAUGACGGCCCUAUGGGUUGUAAACUGCUUUUAUACGGGAAGAAACCCCGGUUCGUGAACCGGCUUGACGGUACCGUAAGAAUAAGGAUCGGCUAACUCCGUGCCAGCAGCCGCGGUAAUACGGAGGAUCCAAGCGUUAUCCGGAAUCAUUGGGUUUAAAGGGUCCGUAGGCGGUCUUAUAAGUCAGUGGUGAAAUCUGGUCGCUCAACGAUCAAACUGCCAUUGAUACUGUAAGACUUGAAUUACUGUGAAGUAACUAGAAUAUGUAGUGUAGCGGUGAAAUGCUUAGAGAUUACAUGGAAUACCAAUUGCGAAGGCAGGUUACUAACAGUAUAUUGACGCUGAUGGACGAAAGCGUGGGGAGCGAACAGGAUUAGAUACCCUGGUAGUCCACGCUGUAAACGAUGGAUACUAGUUGUUUGGAGCAAUCUGAGUGACUAAGCGAAAGUGAUAAGUAUCCCACCUGGGGAGUACGAACGCAAGUUUGAAACUCAAAGGAAUUUGACGGGGGCCCGCACAAGCGGUGGAGCAUGUGGUUUAAUUCGAUGGUACGCGAGGAACCUUACCAAGGCUU